CCACAUACACAAUAUAGUGAGACUGAUCCAAAGAGGACCGUUACACAUGCUUGGGAUGUACAGCACAAAAACAAGCAAUGGACAUUAUGAGAUACAGUGAAGCCCAUGAACUGGCCCAAGGCGGCAAUGAACUGGACAUUGUAGACCCGAAUAACACUAGCUUCCUGAACCAGGACUUCCUUGUGUGGAUGAGGAGGGCAGUGCUUCCUCAGUCCAGGAAGUUCUUCCAGUGAAUUUCAGAAGUUGAAACAGGCCUGAUAUUGGAAAGGCUGAGGGGAAAGAAAGGGGAAAGAAAAAGAAGAAAAAAAGGUUAGAGGUACAUGUCUCUUUCUUUCAGUUGUUCCUCUUUCUUCAUUUCUCUCUUCCUAAUAUAGGCAUGGCAUUAUAAGUGAAAUUGAUGAUGGUCGUGUGUGGGUGGUUCUUUCUUUUCUUUUUUACUCAGGAGACAGAGGCAGAGACUUUGUGAACAUAACAGAUAUUUAUUCAACAUUAUCCUGUUGGUUCUGCCAUAGUGGAAAGCUGCACAUAUUGUAUUACUCUUUAUAACCAUUUCAUUUGUUGGACCCCCACCAAUAAUGGAGAGCACUGUGUCAUUAUGGAAGUGAUAAGUGUUGCCAUAACAACAGAUCCUCUACGUAGUGACCAGUUUCCUGACCAUAACAAGCUCAAAAGAUUUUAUUUCCAAGUGAGGGAGAGCAGCAUGCUGUGAGAGUGCCAUUAGUACUAGACAACUUAAAAAAAAAAAAAAAAAAAAAAGCAAAUGGUCAAAUCUUUACUGACUCAUGGAGAAUUCAUUUGCACACAUUGGUGGUAUUGAUGCCUGUUAUUGAGUGGAGGACAUCUGAAUGCAAUGGAGUAUUUUGUGCUGUGUUUAGCACUAAGUCUCGCAGCAGUUCAGUCCUGCAAUGUUUGCAAAGUGUGGACAAACAAAUGUUAAUUUAAACAAAUUUAAAUAUUCAAAACUCUCUCGCAGCCCACUGAGAAGAGAACUUCAUACUCUAAUAUUAGGCCAGGUUAAUGGCACAUUCUCAAGCAAUUAUCAACUUGUGCCAAAAAUUUGAAUUCUAUAAUUUAACUUCAUGCUGUUUCAAACCCAUACUGACUUUCUUUCUUACGUAGAGCCCAAAAGGAGAUGUUUGGUAUGACAGCCUCAGUCAACAUUCACUUUCAUUCCAUCUAUUUCCAUUGAAUGGUUUCUGUAGGGCUGGACUGGUAAUCUGGCAUACCGGGCAUUUUCCCGGUGGGCCAACUUUGGGGCUGAUCAGGGGCGGCUGGCCAUCAGGAGUACCGAGCGUUAUGCAAAACGGACCACAAAACGACACCUCCAUAUGUAUAAAAGGACAGCGAUUACUCUUCCCAGUCCAGUCCUGUGUGUGGGUGUUUUAUUCCUUUAAAUGUUGAACAAUUAGUCUGCAGGCAUCUACAAGAGAAAAUAGCAACACUCAUCUGAAAAGGUGUGCUUUAGAGAACAGAUCUUCACUCUUCAAUUCAGAGCCCAAAAGACAAGUAUGAUGUUUGAACUGACAAGAAAAUCUACAUCUGAAGCAGAAAGUGAGUUAGAACAUUGCCUUUAAAUUGAAACAUUUGAUAGAUUAUUUGCAUCACUUGCAUUUAGAAUAGAAUCGGAUAGAGAGAAUAGACUACAAAGGCAAAGGACUUCAAAGGCAAAACAUAGUAAUUUAGUCUUUUAGACUAUAAUCUGUCCUGUGACCGACAGGUUUGGCUUAGCUAUACUAAAAUGUAUGAAUAGAUGUAAUCAAUAUAUUACAUAUGUGUAUGUACAACACAUUUGGCCAAACAAUUAAAACACUUAGAAAUCUUUUAUCUCAGUUUCA
Molecule: long non-coding RNA, 1835 nt
Organism: Xyrauchen texanus (razorback sucker)
Lineage: Eukaryota; Metazoa; Chordata; Actinopteri; Cypriniformes; Catostomidae
Exons: 5
Source: RefSeq, a predicted model, not a curated record